UGGUGCAUGGCCGUUCUUAGUUGGUGGAGCGAUUUGUCUGGUUAAUUCCGAUAACGAACGAGACUCUAGCCUGCUAAAUAGACAGGGAAUCAGUUGUUCUCUGUACUUCUUAGAGGGACAAGCGGCAUCUAGCUGCACGAGACAGAGCAAUAACAGGUCUGUGAUGCCCUUAGAUG
RNAcentral lists this ribosomal RNA (176 nucleotides) under uncultured eukaryote. RNAcentral's name for it is "partial 18S ribosomal RNA". It matches the Rfam family "Eukaryotic small subunit ribosomal RNA", at positions 1278 to 1479 of the family's 1831-position model. The record is from RNAcentral.